AUUGAACGCUGGCGGCAGGCUUAACACAUGCAAGUCGAGCGAGCGGCGGACGGGUGAGUAAUGUCUGGGAACCUCCCUGCUGGCGGGGGAUAACCACUGGAAACCGUCGCUAAUACCGCAUACCAUCAGAUGUGCCCAGAUGGGAUUGGCUAGUCGGUGGGGUGAGGGCUCACCUAGGCGACGAUCCCUAGCUGGUCUGAGAGGAUGACCGGCCACACGGGAACUGAGACACGGUCCGGACGCCUACGGGAGGCAGCAGUGGGGAAUAUGGGACAAUGGGCGCAAGCCUGAUGCAGCCAUGCCGCGGGUGUGAAGAAGGCCUUCGGGUUGUAAAGCACUGUCAGCGAGGAGGCGGUACUCGCAGAAGAAGCACCGGCUAACUCCGUGCCAGCAGCCGCGGUAAUAC
RNAcentral lists this ribosomal RNA (406 nucleotides) under uncultured bacterium. RNAcentral's name for it is "partial 16S ribosomal RNA". It matches the Rfam family "Bacterial small subunit ribosomal RNA", at positions 28 to 526 of the family's 1533-position model. The record is from RNAcentral.